GACGACUGGCAGAGAUGCCUUUCUUCCCUUCGGGGACCUACACACAGGUGCUGCAUGGCUGUCGUCAGCUCGUGUCGUGAGAUGUUGGGUUAAGUCCCGCAACGAGCGCAACCCUCGACUUUAGUUACCAUCAUUAAGUUGGGUACUUUAAAGUAACCGCCGGUGAUAAGCCGGAGGAAGGUGGGGAUGACGUCAAGUCCUCAUGGCCCUUACGCGCUGGGCUACACACGUGCUACAAUGGCAAGUACAGUGGGCAGCAAUCCCGCGAGGGUGAGCUAAUCUCCAAAACUUGUCUCAGUUCGGAUUGUUCUCUGCAACUCGAGAGCAUGAAGGCGGAAUCGCUAGUAAUCGCGGAUCAGCAUGCCGCGGUGAAUACGUUCCC
This 382-nucleotide ribosomal RNA is filed under the name Sphingomonas sp. VA7. RNAcentral's name for it is "bacterial SSU rRNA". It matches the Rfam family "Bacterial small subunit ribosomal RNA", at positions 993 to 1375 of the family's 1533-position model. The record is from RNAcentral. Lineage: Bacteria; Pseudomonadati; Pseudomonadota; Alphaproteobacteria; Sphingomonadales; Sphingomonadaceae.